RNAcentral lists this ribosomal RNA (460 nucleotides) under uncultured bacterium. RNAcentral describes it as "partial 16S ribosomal RNA". It matches the Rfam family "Bacterial small subunit ribosomal RNA", at positions 338 to 795 of the family's 1533-position model. The record is from RNAcentral.
CCUACGGGUGGCAGCAGUGAGGAAUAUUGGUCAAUGGGCGCUAGCCUGAACCAGCCAAGUAGCGUGAAGGAUGACUGCCCUAUGGGUUGUAAACUUCUUUUAUAUGGGAAUAAAGUGCAGUAUGUAUACUGAUUUGCAUGUACCUUAUGAAUAAGGAUCGGCUAACUCCGUGCCAGCAGCCGCGGUAAUACGGAGGAUCCGAGCGUUAUCCGGAUUUAUUGGGUUUAAAGGGAGGGUAGGCGGGUUGUUAAGUCAGUUGUGAAAGUUUGCGGCUCAACCGUAAAAUUGCAGUUGAUACUGGCAGCCUUGAGUACAGUAGAGGUAGGCGGAAUUCGUGGUGUAGCGGUGAAAUGCUUAGAUAUCACGAAGAACUCCGAUUGCGAAGGCAGCCUACUGGACUGUAACUGACGCUGAUGCUCGAAAGUGUGGGUAUCAAACAGGAUUAGAUACCCGAGUAGUC